This is a long non-coding RNA of Cyprinus carpio carpio, 2472 nucleotides long. Lineage: Eukaryota; Metazoa; Chordata; Actinopteri; Cypriniformes; Cyprinidae. The record is from Ensembl.
GCGGGUGUGUGGAGGGAACUGUCAGCUCGGAAAGACAAUUGGGCUUGAUGGAAGAGCUGGUCCCAGCUGGGUGUAGGAAUACCGGGGAGAUGGAGAGAUAGGAAGAGAUGGUGAGACUGGUAAGAGAAAAAAGAAAACAGAAAUGGGGGAGGGAUCAGGGACGCGAUCAGCAGGAAACAGCUGAGGCAGAAGUCAGACAUCACUGAGCGAUUGGCGCCGAGUCAGCAGGAGCCGUCUGGUCACCCCAGAGAGCCAGUGUGCCUCAGACUGUCAGCACAUUCUCAGUGCCUCCACUACAGGUCAUAAAGCAUCACAGACAGAGGAAGAGCAUGUGACACAGAGUCUUGUGUGAUUAAGAGUAUAUUCUGAGAAGUGCUUGGCGUAAAUCUGCGCAGUCCAAAAGAAAAGAUCAGGAAGGUUGUUUCACAGCAAGAGCAGAAGAGGAUGUGACAGGGUAAAGAAACAGCUGCCUCGGGUUUACAGAGUUUUGGUGUAUUACUACUGUAUAUGAGUGUAUGUGCAAUGCACUCAAAUGAACUCGCAAAUAAACACACGCAAAACACACAGGUAGCAGACUAGUGGGUCAGGCAAAAAUAAACACUCAUUCCUGUGAGAACAAGGAAUCAGAGCCAGACCAAAAUACUAGCAACCUUCUGGAAACCAAACGCACUGAGCCAAACUACGCUUGGCAUAGCCAACUAGCCUGGAUCCUGCCAAAAGGGUCUGGCUCAUGCCAGCACCAAAGCAGCUCUCACUUAGAGCGAGAAUUGAAUAUGGGGCAGGCAUGGGUGUCAGCAGAGCAGCAAAGAUUGCAUGUCGAAGACGCCCACUGUAGACUCGCCUCAGAGUGUGAAGAAAGCUCUAGAGAGGAGCAGAUGAGUCAGUAUAAGAGAGGUGUUAUUCAGCGCUCUGUUGCUCACUGGGCUUUUUCAUGUGGGAGCAGACGAGAAAUGCCUCUAAUAAAAGAAGAAAUCAGAGUGGAUUCCCCACCGCUGAAGAUAAACAAAGCAUAUAAUUACACAUAUUAUUAAGAAAAACAGUGGUGCUUGCUCAUGUAAAAUUCACUAGAAAGAAAGAAAGAAAGAAAGAAAGAAAAAGAAAGAAAGACGUCCAAUAUAAGUGGCAAACAGCUGAUAUGACAAAAAGGGUAUGGGAUGUUUUGCCUGUUAUCAUAGCCAGAUAAAAAUCAAAUCAUGCCCUUUUAAAAAUUCACCAUUAUGUGGUGGUUACUUUCUGAUAUUAAAAUUGUGGCCAGUAUUAUAAACUUAAAAAAAUAAAAAGAUAAUAAAAUAAAAGUAAAAUAAUAAAAUAAAACAAAAAAUAAAAAAGGUAAAAUAAAACAAAAAAAAUAAAAAACAAAAUAAAAGAUCAAAAAUAUUAAAUAAAAUAACUGCUAUGCUAGAGCUUUUUACUGAUCACCAGUGAAAUACCACUGUGCCCCAGUAAAAUAUUACUGAUAAAUCCUUGUGUAAGUGGGAUUGAUGUAUACAAACAUGAAAAUUUAUUUGAAAAUAUUUUAGCAAUCAUGUUGUGUAUUUUAUAUCAGCUGUUUAGACUCAAAAUUGGUGAUCCCAGAUAUGCAAAUAAAUCACUCUUUUAAUCUAAUCUGUCAAAUAGGUUUGCAAGAAAGUCUGAAAUUGUUUGCCGUUCAGUUUGAUUCAUUCAGACAGUUCACUCACACACACACACAAUUGUUUGCAGCAGUUUCUCACCAAAGUAGUAAUGGGAUAUUUUAUAAGACAUAAAACAAAAGGAGCACUGAAUGGGGUGGAUAUUUACCUACAAUUUAUAUCCAUUAUUAUUAUAUAGAAUAUUAAACAGUGUAUCAAAAUAUGGGCAUACUUUUUUGAAACUAGAAAUGAUACCUACAUACUGGCCAAAAUCAAAAAUGGUGUGAGAUUUUUUUUCCCGUUUUAUCAUAAUCCAGAUAAAAAUUGUAAUUUUGUUCUCUUGGAAAAGAACCAACACAUCUCUCUCAACAAAGAACUGUAUUACGAAUUCAUGUGUGUAGCACAAACAGCACUUGCUCAAUAAUGAAAAGACACUAUCAUUGUUUACAAAAACAGCAUUACUGCAAUCUCUGUAAAAAUGGAGCCACAAAGAGAAAAAGCAAAACAGUACAACAAUAAAGUUUUAUUGGUGUUAUUAAAAUGGAUUUCUUAAUAAAAGAACUGUAGCUAAACAGCGACGUGGGUUUGGAAACUACACCAGGGGAACCAGAUUUUAUUAUCAACAUUAAGCCAUGUUUGACCAAAUCGCUGCUCUCACAAACACAAAAAAAACCAUCAGCCAACACAUGAUCUUAUCCAAUGACAGAAGGUUGUCAGAGGUUUUUUUUAAGAUUAAAACAAAUGUAAUCAUCACUGAAUGCAUGGCAGAACCAUUAUUUAUGAUUCUAGGUUAAUAAAACAAGCAAAAACACAGCAAAUGCAUAAUGGUUUUCAAAACACAUAGUAUCUAAUAUCUAAUCAG